UAGGAAUCUUGGACAAUGGGCGCAAGCCUGAUCCAGCCAUGCCGCGUGAGUGAUGAAGGCCUUAGGGUUGUAAAGCUCUUUCAGCGGGGAAGAUAAUGACGGUACCUCCAGAAGAAGCCCCGGCUAACUACGUGCCAGCAGCCGCGGUAAUACGUAGGGGGCAAGCGUUGUCCGGAAUCAUUGGGCGUAAAGCGCGUGUAGGCGGUUCAGUAAGUCCGCUCUGAAAGCCCGGGGCUCAACCCCGGGAGGCGGGUGGAUACUGCUGGACUAGAGUACGGAAGAGGCGAGUGGAAUUCCCGGUGUAGCGGUGAAAUGCGCAGAUAUCGGGAGGAACACCUAUUGCGAAGGCAGCUCGCUGGGACGUCACUGACGCUGAGACGCGAAAGCGUGGGGAGCAAA
Molecule: ribosomal RNA, 399 nt
Filed under: uncultured bacterium
Lineage: Bacteria
Description: bacterial SSU rRNA
Rfam family: Bacterial small subunit ribosomal RNA
Source: RNAcentral